Molecule: ribosomal RNA, 511 nt
Filed under: uncultured bacterium
Lineage: Bacteria
Description: bacterial SSU rRNA
Rfam family: Bacterial small subunit ribosomal RNA
Source: RNAcentral
GAUGAACGCUGGCGGCGUGCCUCAAACAUGCAAGUCGAGCGGGGCUAUGUAAUAUCGCAAGGUAGAACAUAGCCUAGCGGCGAACGGGUGAGUAACACGUGGGUAACCUGCCUGGAAGACAGGGAUAACGAUUCGAAAGGGUCGCUAAUACCUGAUAAUAUCCUUUCAUCGCAUGGUGAUAGGAAGAAAGGGGAAACCCGCUUUCAGAUGGGCCCGCGUCCCAUCAGCUAGUUGGUAAGGUAAAGGCUUACCAAGGCGACGACGGGUAGCCGGUCUGAGAGGAUGUACGGCCACACUGGGACUGAGAUACGGCCCAGACUCCUACGGGAGGCAGCAGUUGGGAAUCUUAGGCAAUGGACGAAAGUCUGACCUAGCGACGCCGCGUGAGGGAAGAAGGCCUUCGGUUGUAAGCACUUUGCGGUACGAACGGACGCUUCUAAUACAGAGCGCUAAUGACGGUACCCGCAGAAUAAGCACCGGCUAACUACGUGCCAGCAGCCGCGGUAAAACG